RNAcentral lists this ribosomal RNA (518 nucleotides) under Escherichia coli. RNAcentral's name for it is "partial 23S ribosomal RNA". It matches the Rfam family "Bacterial large subunit ribosomal RNA", at positions 1133 to 1653 of the family's 2925-position model. The record is from RNAcentral. Lineage: Bacteria; Pseudomonadati; Pseudomonadota; Gammaproteobacteria; Enterobacterales; Enterobacteriaceae.
CGUAAUAGCUCACUGGUCGAGUCGGCCUGCGCGGAAGAUGUAACGGGGCUAAACCAUGCACCGAAGCUGCGGCAGCGACACUAUGUGUUGUUGGGUAGGGGAGCGUUCUGUAAGCCUGUGAAGGUGUGCUGUGAGGUAUGCUGGAGGUAUCAGAAGUGCGAAUGCUGACAUAAGUAACGAUAAAGCGGGUGAAAAGCCCGCUCGCCGGAAGACCAAGGGUUCCUGUCCAACGUUAAUCGGGGCAGGGUGAGUCGACCCCUAAGGCGAGGCCGAAAGGCGUAGUCGAUGGGAAACAGGUUAAUAUUCCUGUACUUGGUGUUACUGCGAAGGGGGGACGGAGAAGGCUAUGUUGGCCGGGCGACGGUUGUCCCGGUUUAAGCGUGUAGGCUGAUUUUCCAGGCAAAUCCGGAAAAUCAAGGCUGAGGCGUGAUGACGAGGCACUACGGUGCUGAAGCAACAAAUGCCCUGCUUCCAGGAAAAGCCUCUAAGCAUCAGGUAACAUCAAAUCGUACCCCAAA